Molecule: RNase P RNA, 277 nt
Filed under: Gammaproteobacteria bacterium
Lineage: Bacteria; Pseudomonadati; Pseudomonadota; Gammaproteobacteria
Description: partial RNase P RNA component class A
Rfam family: Bacterial RNase P class A
About the family: Ribonuclease P (RNase P) is a ubiquitous endoribonuclease, found in archaea, bacteria and eukarya as well as chloroplasts and mitochondria. Its best characterised activity is the generation of mature 5'-ends of tRNAs by cleaving the 5'-leader elements of precursor-tRNAs. Cellular RNase Ps are ribonucleoproteins.
Source: RNAcentral
GGGGGCGUGAGCCUACGGAAAGUGCAACAGAGAGCAGACCGCCAAAGCGCUUCGGCGCCGGCAAGGGUGAAAGGGUGCGGUAAGAGCGCACCGCGCGGGUGGCAACAUUCCGCGGCACGGUAAACCCCACCUGGAGCAAGACCAAAUAGGGGAACAGGCUUUUUGCCACGCGCGGCCCGCGCGCGUUCCCGGGUAGGUUGCUUGAGGUCUGCGGCGACGCAGAUCCCAGAUGAAUGGUUGUCCAAGACAGAACCCGGCUUAUCGGCCGGCUCCCCAC